UACGGAGGAUCCGGGCGUUAUCCGGAUUUAUUGGGUUUAAAGGGAGCGUAGGCGGGUUGUUAAGUCAGUUGUGAAAGUUUGCGGCUCAACCGUAAAAUUGCAGUUGAUACUGGCAUCCUUGAGUACAGUAGAGGUAGGCGGAAUUCGUGGUGUAGCGGUGAAAUGCUUAGAUAUCACGAAGAACUCCGAUUGCGAAGGCAGCCUGCUGGACUGUAACUGACGCUGAUGCUCGAAAGUGUGGGUAUCAACCAGG
Molecule: ribosomal RNA, 253 nt
Filed under: uncultured bacterium
Lineage: Bacteria
Description: partial 16S ribosomal RNA
Rfam family: Bacterial small subunit ribosomal RNA
Source: RNAcentral